GGGUUGUUGGCGUAGUGCGCAAAGGCUCGGCCUGCUAAGCCGACGGUCCCGGGUUCGAUUCCCGGUUGGUCCC
Molecule: non-coding RNA, 73 nt
Organism: Habropoda laboriosa
Lineage: Eukaryota; Metazoa; Arthropoda; Insecta; Hymenoptera; Apidae
Source: Rfam